UCUGUGUUGCUUUCUUCUUUAAAUGUAAUGGAUGUUAUUGUGUAAAAGUAUGGGAUAAUAUUUGUAUUGUUGCGGUAGGGUUGUUUCUCUUUUUUUUUUCUAACCAAUAGUUUCAAAGAAGAGAAGAGCAUCUUCUUCUAUAGAGAAAUUGAAAUCGUAAGAACCUUUCUAUUCUACUAUUCCAAAAGUAAAGAUGUUCUUGGGAUAAAGUCAGUACAAUGCAUAAUUUCAACAUGUCCUUGUGGGAUGAUGGGAAAGAGCCUCUUUGUGUGCCUGUCUAUGUAGUUUGCUGCUUGACAGAUAUCUCAAGAGUCGCCAUAUGCAGUACGAAGAAUUGGACAACGUACUAUCGGAUCUUCAUCGGUUUUCAGGUGAGAAUUAUUUUUGAUGAGUUUCAGAGUACUUCAAGAAGUUGGAAAACAACCUUUGGUCUAGGAGAAAGUCCUACCAAUUGUGAGUGAAUCCAUUAAAGAAUGAAAUUGGCUGAUGUGAUUGGAAAGAGAAAUGUUUAGAAAUAUGUGGGAUGUGGGAGACCUGUCGUUUGCUUUAUGAUUCACAGGCUGAGGAUUUCUUCAGGGGACAACUGGCUAACUAAAGAGGUCUGUGUUGCUUUCUUCUUUAAAUGUAAUGGAUGUUAUUGUGUAAAAGUAUGGGAUAAUAUUUGUAUUGUUGCGGGAGGGUUGUUUCUCUUUUUUUUUUCUAACCAAUAGUUUCAAAGAAGAGAAGAGCAUCUUCUUCUAUAGAGAAAUUGAAAUGUAAGAACCUUUCUAUUCUACUAUUCCAAAAGUAAAGAUGUUCUUGGGAUAAAGUCAGUACAAUGCAUAAUUUCAACAUGUCCUUGUGGGAUGAUGGGAAAGAGCCUCUUUGUGUGCCUGUCUAUGUAGUUUGCUGCUUGACAGAUAUCUCAAGAGUCGCCUUAUGCAGUACGAAGAAUUGGACAACGUAUUAUUGGAUCUUCAUCGGUUUUCAGGUGAGAAUUGUUUUUGAUGAGUUUCAGAGUCUCUCAAGAAGUUGGAAAACAACCUUUGGUCUAGGAGGAAGUCCUACCAAUUGUGAGUGAAUCCAUUAAAGAAUGAAAUUGGCUGAUGUGAUUGGAAAGCGAAAUGUUUAGAAAUAUGUGGGAUGUGGGAGACCUGUCGUUUGCUUUAUGAUUCACAGGCUGAGGAUUUCUUCAGGGGACAACUGGCUAGCUAAAGAGGUCUGUGUUGCUUUCUUCUUUAAAUGUAAUGGAUUUUAUUGUGUAAAAGUAUGGGAUAAUAUUUGUAUUGUUGCGGGAGGGUUGUUUCUCUUUUUUUUUUCUAACCAAUAGUUUCAAAGAAGAGAGAAGAGCAUCUUCUUCUAUAGAGAAAUUGAAAUGUAAGAACCUUUCUAUUCUACUAUUCCAAAAGUAAAGAUGUUCUUGGGAUAAAGUCAGUACAAUGCAUAAUUUCAACAUGUCCUUGUGGGAUGAUGGGAAAGAGCCUCUUUGUGUGCCUGUCUAUGUAGUUUGCUGCUUGACAGAUAUCUCAAGAGUCGCCUUAUGCAGUACGAAGAAUUGGACAACGUAUUAUUGGAUCUUCAUCGGUUUUCAGGUGAGAAUUGUUUUUGAUGAGUUUCAGAGUACUUCAAGAAGUUGGAAAACAACCUUUGGUCUAGGAGGAAGUCCUACCAAUUGUGAGUGAAUCCAUUAAAGAAUGAAAUUGGCUGAUGUGAUUGGAAAGAGAAAUGUUUAGAAAUAUGUGGGAUGUGGGAGACCUGUCGUUUGCUUUAUGAUUCACAGGCUGAGGAUUUCUUCAGGGGACAACUGGCUAGCUAAAGAGGUCUGUGUUGCUUUCUUCUUUAAAUGUAAAUGUUAUUGUGUAAAAGUAUGGGAUAAUAUUUGUAUUGUUGUUGCGGGAGGGUUGUUUCUCUUUUUUUUUCUAACCAAUAGUUUCAAAGAAGAGAAGAGCAUCUUCUUCUAUAGAGAAAUUGAAAUGUAAGAACCUUUCUAUUCUACUAUUCCAAAAGUAAAGAUGUUCUUGGGAUCAAGUCAGUACAAUGCAUAAUUUCAACAUGUCCUUGUGGGAUGAUGGGAAAGAGCCUCUUUGUGUGCCUGUCUAUGUAGUUUGCUGCUUGACAGAUAUCUCAAGAGUCGCCAUAUGCAGUACGAAGAAUUGGACAACGUAUUAUUGGAUCUUCAUCGGUUUUCAGGUGAGAAUUGUUUUUGAUGAGUUUCAGAGUCUCUCAAGAAGUUGGAAAACAACCUUUGGUCUAGGAGGAAGUCCUACCAAUUGUGAGUGAAUCCAUUAAAGAAUGAAAUUGGCUGAUGUGAUUGGAAAGAGAAAUGUUUAGAAAUAUGUGGGAUGUGGGAGACCUGUCGUUUGCUUUAUGAUUCACAGGCUGAGGAUUUCUUCAGGGGACAACUGGCUAGCUAAAGAGGUCUGUGUUGCUUUCUUCUUUAAAUGUAAUGGAUUUUAUUGUGUAAAAGUAUGGGAUAAUAUUUGUAUUGUUGCGGGAGGGUUGUUUCUCUUUUUUUUUUCUAACCAAUAGUUUCAAAGAAGAGAAGAGCAUCUUCUUCUAUAGAGAAAUUGAAAUGUAAGAACCUUUCUAUUCUACUAUUCCAAAAGUAAAGAUGUUCUUGGGAUCAAGUCAGUACAAUGCAUAAUUUCAACAUGUCCUUGUGGGAUGAUGGGAAAGAGCCUCUUUGUGUGCCUGUCUAUGUAGUUUGCUGCUUGACAGAUAUCUCAAGAGUCGCCAUAUGCAGUACGAAGAAUUGGACAACCUAUUAUUGGAUCUUCAUCGGUUUUCAGGUGAGAAUUGUUUUUGAUGAGUUUCAGAGUACUUCAAGAAGUUGGAAAACAACCUUUGGUCUAGGAGGAAGUCCUACCAAUUGUGAGUGAAUCCAUUAAAGAAUGAAAUUGGCUGAUGUGAUUGGAAAGAGAAAUGUUUAGAAAUAUGUGGGAGACCUGUCGUUUGCUUUAUGAUUCACAGGCUGAGGAUUUCUUCAGGGGACAACUGGCUAGCUAUAGAGGUCUGUGUUGCUUUCUUCUUUAAAUGUAAUGGAUUUUAUUGUGUAAAAGUAUUGGAUAAUAUUUGUAUUGUUGUUGCGGGAGGGUUGUUUUUCUUUUUUUUUCUAACCAAUAGUUUCAAAGAAGAGAAAAGAGCAUCUUCUUCUAUAGAGAAAUUGAAAUGUAAGAACCUUUCUAUUCUACUUUUCCAAAAGUAAAGAUGUUCUUGGGAUAAAGUCAGUACAAUGCAUAAUUUCAACAUGUCUUUGUGGGAUGAUGGGAAAGAGCCUCUUUGUGUGCCUGUCUAUGUAGUUUGCUGGUUGACAGAUAUCUCAAGAGUCGCCAUAUGCAGUACGAAGAAUUGGACAACCUAUUAUUGGAUCUUCAUCGGUUUUCAGGUGAGAAUUGUUUUUGAUGAGUUUCAGAGUCUCUUAAGAAGUUGGAAAACAACCUUUGGUCUAGGAGGAAGUCCUACCAAUUGUGAGUGAAUCCAUUAAAGAAUGAAAUUGGCUAAUGUGAUUGGAAAGAGAAAUGUUUAGAAAUAUGUGGGAUGUGGGAGACCUGUCGUUUGCUUUAUGAUUCACAGGCUGAGGAUUUCUUCAGGGGACAACUGGCUAACUAAAGAGGUCUGUGUUGCUUUCUUCUUUAAAUGUAAUGGAUUUUAUUGGGUUAAAGUAUGGGAUAAUAUUUGUAUUGUUGUUGCGGGUUUUUUCUCUUUUUCAGGAGGAGAUGUGAUUGGAAAGAGAAAUUUCUGUAAAUAUGUGGGAAACCUGUUUUUCCUUUAUGGUUCACAGGCUGAACAUUUCUUCAGGGGAGAUCUGGCUAACUAAAGAGUUCUGUGUUGCCUACAUUUUUUAAAUGUAAUCUUUUUUAGCGUCAACAAGCAUGGAUUGCUAGUGGAUUGUUGUUUUGGGAGACCUCUGUGGACAGGUUGAGGAUUGGGUUUAUUAUUGCAUUGUUGUUUCUCCUGUUUUACAGAUUAGCUUCAAAGAAGAAAGAACACCUUGUACAGAAAGAAGAAUUGGUAAGUGGAAGAUGUUAAAGAAAGAUGGACCAUGAAAACCUUAUUUUUGUCUAUACAUCAAAAUUCUUUCAGGUGUUAAUUCUAACAAUGCUUAAUCACUACUUUUUGGCAAGUUUCAAAACGAGCGCAAUCAAUAAAUUUUAUUGUAUUGUUGUUUUAGUAGAAUUUUUCACCGUGGAGAGAAGACAAUCUACCAACACAGAGCCCAGAACUGGUAAUGGUCUCUCUGUUCCUAUAUUAGAAAUCUUUUACGCAAAAAUUAUUGCAUAUAUUUUAAUGUGUACCAAGUUCUGAUUUCACACUGUAACAUAACUUAUUAUGAUCUAAUAUUCAUGGUCCCACCACUGUCCAGACUUGUUUCACUUAGUUAAAUAGCUAUAAUAUAUAUUAAUUGUUACAAUUAUUAAAUGAGGAUUUUUCUUUCAAAUAUUGGUUGUCAUGCUUCUCUAGGUAUUUGAUGGGGCAAGCUAACUCACUCCUCAUAAUUUUGUUACCUAUGCGUGACAAAAUGCCUUUUGUCACUGGAUUUUUAAAUGACCAACUGCCCUUUGCCCUUGGCUGUUGGAGGAGCCUGAUUGCCAGCCUCCUCCCUCGUGACUGUGGCCCUGGGGUGUAUUGCCAUUUAAAAAGACUAUUUGGGGCUUACUGGCUUCUAAAAGACUGUUUCUGCCCAUUUGAAUCCAUGGGAAUAUGUGUCUCUUCCCCUCCCUCGUUUCCUGUCUAUUGUUCCAGCAGGGCGUUGUCCCAGGCACACUGCCAGACCAGUUGGAACUUGCUGUUGCCCCUCCUCUGUCUCUCAUCAGCUCUUGCCAUGUUUUAAAGGACCACUCUAGGCACCCAGACCACUUCAGCUUAAUGAAGUGGUCUGGGUGCCAGGUCCCUCUAGGAUUAACCCUUUUUUUUAUAAACAUAGCAGUUUCAGAGAAACUGCUAUGUUUAUACUGAGGGUUAAUCCAGCCUCCAGAGCCUCUAGUGGCUGUCUCAUUGACAGCCGCUAGAGACGCUUGCGUGCUUCUCACUGUGAAAAUCACAGUGAGAGCACGCAAGCGUCCAUAGGAAAGGAUUGUAAAUGCUUUCCUAUGCGACCGGCUGAAUGCGCGUGCGCAUUCAGCCGAUGACGUCGCGAGCAAGGAGGAGAGGAGGAGUACAGCUCCCCGCCCGGCGCUGGAGAAAGGUAAGUGUUUAACCCCUUCCUCUCUCCAGAGCCCGGCGGGAGGGGGUCCCUGAGGGUGGGAGCACCCUCAGGGCACUAUAGUGCCAGGAAAACAAGUAUGUUUUCCUGGCACUAUAGUGGUCCUUUAACUCCAUGGCGAUUUGACUGUGUUUGUGGCAUCUGAGCACUGUUCGGAUAUAGUGAGCGCCCAAAUCCAAGCUAUCUGGGGAUAGGUUGAAUGUGGGGGUUCUGUUAAGUAUAAUAGGAAUUAUGUAUUUUUAUGUGUUUUUACUGUUGUUGUGAAUAGAGCUAUUUUCUGUAUGCUGGAGGUUAUUGACUUACCACACCCAAGCCAUUCUUGCAGAUGGUCACAAAGGGACUUUCAACUAACUUUUGACCCACUGGACCAAUUUGUAUGAUUUUGGCGUAUGUUUGUAUUUGGAGUAUGCUGAUUUUGAAAAUGUAUGUGAAUGUGAUGUAUACUUUCAGAGUUAUGAAUAUUGUGUAAAACUGUGUAUUUUCCUGCCUGUGAUAAUUAAGUUAGACCAUUGUGUUCAGUAAUUAUAUCACAGGCAGAGGGGAGGUUUUUGUGUGGGGAUGUCUGAGUGUAUUGUAUGUAUUGAUUGGUUGUUCUGCAAAACACUGUGGGCAGUACUGUGUGUGUAAAAUGUGCAUAAAAGCAGAAUGUUUGAUUAAAAGCUACAGUUCUUCUUCACCCUCACACGUAGUCUUGUUUCGUGAUUGGAGGGCACAACUAAACUCACACUGGGGAUUGCUAUGCUCUGCAUACUCCCCUGAGCUGUAAUCACUUAGCUCUUUUAAGAGCUUGUUCCUGUUACGCUCUCCUGGAGAAGAGGUCUUCACCACAAGGUCCUGGAGGACAAAAGUUGAUCCAGGGUGGACGAGGACGGUGAGACUCCAGUUAAGCUACGGUGGUUGUGGUGUCUGGUGUGGUGCUUGUGGUCCUCGGCGCAAGCUAGGAAGCGUCCAUCAACGGAAGGGCUUAUAUGAUACUUGCCAUUGCAAACCUGGAGGCCACAGUCCCUAGUUGUAAAUUUCAACUAUCCAGGGCAAAAUUUACACUCGCUAAUGGUUAACCCCUUAAGGACCAAACUUCUGGAAUAAAAGGGAAUCAUGACAUGUCCCACAUGUCAUGUGUCCUUAAGGGGUUAAAGGAAAGUGGGAAUAUUGAGCUCUGUGUAGCAUAUAAAUCAGUGAGACACGAGGUCUCUAUAAGGAGGCAAGUAAAGUAACCUUUAAAUUGUAAGCUCACAGUCUAUCUUGACAAGUACUUUGUAGAAAAGAGCUUUAAUGGCUAGAUCUCAAGUCAUGGGCAGGGCCUUCAUUACCGUUUGUAUUGAUUUGUGUUUAUUUUACUGUCCUGUUUCUCAUUUGAACAGCUCUGUGGAAAAUGUUAGUUUUUAAUAAAUGCAUUCAUUAUAUGAUCUAAUUGAUGGUGUCUGGCCUUCCAAAUGAAAAUAAUGAUGACAAUCUUUUAGUAGAAUGAUUUGUUUUAGUUAUGUUAAAAACAUUGUGUGGUUAUUAUGAAAUGGUAACCAGAAUUAGUUCAUGUAGACAAUUAAUUUCCGUGUAUAUGUUCUACUGCCAGGCUGGGAACCUUAUGCAUGAAUAUCUGAAACAGCAGCAUCAAACACAGCCCGAAUCAUGUAGACAGUGGGUGCAAAGUCAAGAUAUCCAUGCGUUAAAGGAGAAGAGACUAAACUUUAUUGCUGGAAUUUGAAACAACAUCAAACACAGCCAGAAUCACAUACACAUAGGGAGCUGAGUAGAGAGAUUUGUGGGUUCAUGGAGCAGAGGUUUAACAUUACUGCUCAUUGAAGAAACAAGAUUAUGGCUCAAGAUUAUGCAAAAAAGACUUUUGGUCACAUUUUUCAUCAAAGUCAUCGUUUGGGAUUUACUUUCUACUUCUAAAUGUCUUUUGAGAACAUUUAUGGAACUUUAUUUUUCUGAAUUAAGAAAUUAAACUGUCAUGUUAUCUAAUGUUAUAGUCAUUUGCAAUUUAAUUCUAAGGCUGGAAAUGAUUGGGUAUCACUAAGAAAUAAUUACAGUUUUAAAAAGAAAAGACAAUUCAAAUGAGAACAAAAUACAUUAAAAUGUUAUCAAUGAAAUCUAAUGUUUUAGAAUUUUUUUUAAUGAACAUUUUAUGUAUAUGAAAACUUUGACUGCAGUUUGACAGACAAAUAAUCAGAUAUUCAGGUCCAUUUUAUGGAAAAAGAGAAAGAAAAC
This 7390-nucleotide long non-coding RNA is filed under the name Pelobates cultripes (western spadefoot toad). The record is from RNAcentral. Lineage: Eukaryota; Metazoa; Chordata; Amphibia; Anura; Pelobatidae.